GUGAUGUCUGUACAUACUAACUUAAAAGAACAUAAUUUUUUUUGUCGGUACGCACAUUGCUCUUUGUUACCAUGGCCACAACUCAAAAAAAGAGAAGAAGAAAAAGAUAAACUAGAACUGAGAACAAUUUUUUUUUUUUUUUAAAGAACAGUAAUAGUAACACAGAACAGGAUAAAAGGAAGUGUGUUAUACUAAACACAGGAAGUAUGUGUUCCCCAAAGCGUUCUCCCUCAUGCAAUAUUAAAUUAUAGCACUCACGGCUGAGCAGAAGGAUAAUAAGCAAAGACAAAUCAUUAUUCAAAAGCUUUCAGCAGAAGUUACACGCAGCACAUAUUACAAUUGGAAAAAGGACUUAUACAACACAUCAAAAUGAGCGACCACACACACAAAUUGCUAAGAUCUUUUCGGUGACAAUAACAACUUCAAAUGAAUAGCAGCUGGCAAAGUAAUCAAGUACUGGUGAGCCCAGAAUUAAGAACUCUGGACUUGUGCAAUAGAAAAUGGAAAUAUAUUUUUUCCAGGUGCAUACUCGUAGAAGUUACCAAGUCAGUAGUAGGGAUCGUUUCUCAGAUUUUCUCUCAAAUGUCAAAAGUCUCUGAUUCAAUCUGCAUCAAGCGAUCUCCUCAUUGGUGAAACAAUCAUUUGUUUCCUCUAUUAUAGUUUUUAUGCUAACAGAGGCUACUGAAGUGUUUGCCACCAUCCAAGGUAACCUAAUAUGAUUUUAUGGUGCAUCAUCUUCAACUCUCUUGGGGUUCACAAUUUUUAAGAAAAUUUCAAACCAAAAGGUAUUGUCAACAUUGCUUCUUUAAGUGUUAUUUUAUGUUUUAAUAUCAAUUUGGCACUUCAUAAUAGCAUAUUACUGAGCUCAUUUGUGCCAUCUCAUUAAUAUAAGCAACACUUUGCAUCAGCAGUGAACCAAAGCUGGAUGAACAUCUGUGGCCAACUUAAAUCAAUGCAGGUAGUGAAUCUGUUUUAUUAAUUUUCUUAAAGACACAAGUAGUAAGAUUAAGUAUAGUUAAUGAAGAUAGGCAAUCAAAAGUAAUGUUCAUUUUCUAUUACAUGGACACCAAAAAGUUGUUCUAGAUUAACGUGUAUGUGUUCUGCGGCAGUGGUAAUCAACACCAUGUGCAUUAUGACAUAUUUGAUAAGGAGUGGACAAUAAACUUUUCAAGCAAUCAAAUUAGGUUGGACAUGAAAUUCCACUGUGAAUUUGAGAUGGAUAGGUCUUGGCACUCCCUGAUAUUGUGAAUUUAAGUUAUUAGUGCAAGUAUAUUAUCAUAAGAUAUACCUGUCCACUGCAGUGGUUUUGUCCAUUUUAUUACUUGGGCAUGAGUUUGCAUAUCUUUAGUAACACAUGAGCAUACUCUAUUUAUGUGGUAUUCAUGUACUAAUAUUUUUUAAGGGUAUGUGUGGAUAAAUUAAACUCAAUCCAUAGUCCGCAGGUAAAAUCAAGGAGGCACAAAGCAUGUGCCCGAGAAACCUCAGCUUUGACAGUACAUAUUUUUUCUCGAAUAAACACAAGAUGGAGAUUUUCCUUUGUCUAGUUACAUGUGUUAUGAUGAUAGGAGAGUCUUUGGAAGACACCAUAGCGCAUUUGUUUAGACAUUAAUGUGCCAGAAAGAGAGAAUGCAAAGUAUCAUGAGAGUACUAGUGAAUUCCAAGUAAAGAAAUGAAAAGAUAACUGAAAGAAUUUCAGACCAGAGGCCAGCUUAAUAGGGUAAAUUAAGAAGUAGAAAUAUAGGAAAUAUUGUUUACCAGAAGUUGGCAUCAUGUAAAUUGAA
RNAcentral lists this long non-coding RNA (1781 nucleotides) under Daucus carota (carrot). Its description in RNAcentral is "long non-coding RNA (DCAR_LNC003602)". The record is from RNAcentral. Lineage: Eukaryota; Viridiplantae; Streptophyta; Magnoliopsida; Apiales; Apiaceae.